CCUACGGGUGGCAGCAGUGAGGAAUAUUGGUCAAUGGCCGGAAGGCUGAACCAGCCAAGCCGCGUGAAGGACGAAGGUGCCAAGCAUUGUAAACUUCUUUUGUCAAGGGACAAAAUCAGGCUCGAGAGCCUGACCGAGGGUACUUGAAGAAAAAGCAUCGGCUAACUCCGUGCCAGCAGCCGCGGUAAUACGGAGGAUGCGAGCGUUAUCCGGAUUUAUUGGGUUUAAAGGGUGCGUAGGCGGGCUGUCAAGCAAGCGGUAAAAGCCCGGGGCUCAACCCCGGCGAGCCGUUGAAACUGGCGGUCUUGAGAUGUCGAGAGGUAUGCGGAAUGCGCGGUGUAGCGGUGAAAUGCUUAGAUAUUGCGCAGAACUCCGAUUGCGAAGGCAGCAUACCGGCGGCGAUCUGACGCUGAGGCACGAAAGCGUGGGUAUCGAACAGGAUUAGAUACCCCGGUAGUC
Molecule: ribosomal RNA, 459 nt
Filed under: uncultured bacterium
Lineage: Bacteria
Description: partial 16S ribosomal RNA
Rfam family: Bacterial small subunit ribosomal RNA
Source: RNAcentral